This 757-nucleotide non-coding RNA is filed under the name Pongo abelii (Sumatran orangutan). Lineage: Eukaryota; Metazoa; Chordata; Mammalia; Primates; Hominidae. The record is from RNAcentral.
AGAGGCGAUAGUCACUCUUCGAAGAGAAGAUGGCUACCAGAAGGAAGAAAAUGUACAUUUAGAAAACUCUCAAUAAUUUAUCAUUAUAUGCAACACCAAUAAAUAUCCUUGUACAUGCAUAUCCGUGCACUUGACCACAGCUGAGUUAAACAGACAUAUCUUAAAGGGUCCUCUUGUGGCCAAAUUGUCUUCCAGAAAUAUUUUACCAAUUUAUAUUCCACCUAACUCAAUGUUGGAUUAUUAUAAUUUAUGUCAAUGUAACAAAUAUAAGAUUUCUUGUUUAGGUUUGUAAUUAUUUGUCUUCUAGAAAUGUUGAACAUUGCUUUUUUAUGUUAAAUAAUCAUGUAUUUAUCUUCUCUGAGAACCACCUGUUUAUGUUUACCACCUUUGUCUAUAUUAAUUUUGUUUAUAUUGAAUUUUGUCUAAAUUGAAUUUUCGUAUUUCUGGCAGAAAUUUUUUAUUGUUAAUCCAGCCAAAUCUAUUCUUCUCUUUUGCUACCAUUGCUUCUACGCUUAGAAAGAUUUCUCCCAACUCAGGAGGAGAUAAAUAUGCACCUACAUUGUAUAGCUUUUUUGUUCAUGAUUUCAUUUUUUUCCAUUUAACACAUUUAAGGAUUGUCAUGAUGUUUUAAUGAAUGAAAGUGUUUCUUGAGAUUUGUACAGAAAAGCAUUAUAUAGUAUUAUGUGGUUCUUAAGGUUUAAAUAAGUACAUCAGGAUAAAUUUUUUAAACAUGUAAUAAAUAAACUAAUUUAAGGGG